CUUUGCGAUCUCAUAACGCGCACCUCACGUUUAACGAUCUGUCUCAGUAUCGAAGGUUAUAUAAUAACUUUGGAUGAUAAAAGUGCAAGUUAUUAGAGUCAGCGAAUAAUCGGCUUAUGAACUUUGUCCAACCCAUAAUCCUAAUUAUUCACAAUCAAGUACAUACUCAAAACGUAAAAGCUGUAAUUAACAGCUCAACAAAGUAGUAGUCGUAAAUAUUUAGAUGUGAUUUGUUGAUUAAAAGGGUAUUACUUUCUCUCCUUGUUUUGAGAAUUGGCCAAAUAAAUAUUCAACCCAUACAACUAUAUGUUAUGAAUGUAUACACAUAUGUACAUGCAUACUUACGUACGUACACAUUAUGCGUGAAAGGUAUCGAUACACACAUCAGUCCCCAUAAACUAUAGGACCUACGUUUCUUAAGUCACGAGUGGAGAAGUCGUAAUAUUGUGACAACUUUAUAGCUGAUUGCGAUGUUUAAUAGGCUGUAAACUGAUAACAAAUUGAAUGAAAUACGAGAUUGACGUGGAUGCAAAAGUUGAACGUGAUCUUGGUUGUUGAUUGUAUCAGUGCUCUAAUUAAUAUGCACAUAUUUACCACAUAAUGAAUCUCUGAGUGAGGAAUGUACAGCGUAUGCAUUCCAUUUUAAAAAGGAUAAAGCUCCAAUCGACAGAUUGUAUCUCUAAUUCCAAGAAAUGAAUCAACAAAUUUUUCCUUCUAUAUAUGUCUUGAUUCAGUAUUUAAAUACUUUACAAAAUUCCGACCCCGAGCUGCAAAAAUUAAUUUGUGUUUAGCAAUUAAGUUUUAUGUGUACAAACUCUGGAGAAUUUGGGGUUCAAUUUCAUGUGCAUAUGUACAUAUAUGUCCAAUUCUACUUGUUAGUCUCCAUUAAACAUAGAUUACAAGCAGUUAAACAUAUAUAACGUUGACACAUGCAAUUAGUACAUAUAUACAUAUUUAUAUUGAUUACAUAUGUGUUACAUUAGCGUACUUAUGUAAUUGCUCCGGAUAUUUAGGCGUUUCUUUUAUUUCUAUUAAAUUACUUUGUCUCUGUUAUCAUUUGCCAAAUGCAUUAAUGGAUUAUUGAUAAACUAGAAAAUUACCUUUGUAUGUCCAUUUACGAAUUGCAUAAUCUGCAGGUAGUCCAAUUUGUUCUCAUUUUUAACCAAAUCCUUUUUAAAGAUUAGCAGAUUGAGCAAAGUGAUCAAUGAGGAAAUUACAUAAAGUAAAAUUCUAUGUUUGUGAGCUUAGCAUACAAACAAACGUCAACCGUGUAAAAGAAAAGUGCUUUUAUUAAGUAGCGCAAGCUACUUUAUGCAAUGACUUAGUUAGUCUGUCCGUCCGUCUGUCUGUCAACACGAUAACAGGAGAACGGAUCGAGAUAAUCGAAAUCGGUUUUCGCCAUCAUACGUAUGACCCUAGGGGGAGGAUCCCCUAAGCUUUUGGGGGCAGCCGGACCACACCCCCUUGCGCCCAGUGGGUGUGGUUGGGGCAAAAUGAGAUUUUUACAAAAAUUGAAUCUAUGGAUGAAGGGCAGUUAAAUUAAGUGUUCCCAAGUUGUGCCACACCCCCUCGCGCCCAGUGGGUGUGGUUGGGGCGCAGUGGGUGUGGUUGGGGCAAAAUGAGAUUUUGAGAAAAAUUGAAUCUAUGGAUGAAGUAGAGUUGAAUUAUGUGUGUCCGAGUUGUGCCACACCCCCCGGGCGUCAGGGGGUGUGGUUGGGGCAAAAUGAGAUUUUUAGAAAAAUUGAAUCUAACAUGUAUGACAAGUAAAACAGUAAGAUUGAUUAAUUAAUUAAUUAAUUAAGAUUGACUAAUUAAGAUUGAUAAAACAGUAAGACAUGUAAGAUGCAUGAUUUUUCAGAGUGGCUACAUAUAAAUGAGGAAGUUUAAAUUAUUUGCUAAUUUUGAAAUAAUUCAGAUUCCGCAAUCUAUAUGUUGUAUCGCAUUCUCAGCAUUAUUGCGCUACUUGUGUACCCUGCGUUGCCGCAGUUUAUUGAAAGCUUAAAGCGCUAUAAAAUUCAAUUUAUAAGUCCACUUGGAACUACGUAAUCAUAAGAUAGCCAGAUUUCAUUUUCUCUGAGCACAGAAAUCCAAAUGCUUAGAUGUAUAUCGUGCAUAUGGGUACGUAUAUAUAUAUUUAUAUACAUGCAUAGCAGUAAUGUAGAUAGAUAAUAGCAAUAGUGCAUUGUACCAUGUUUUUAAUUACUACAUCAAUAGUCAGGUCAAUAUUAAAACCUACCUACAGUGUGCAAAACUGUUUAUUUUAUUCUUCUUUAGUCAGAGAGGUUGUAGGGUAUUACAACAAUUUGUUCCAAAUCAACCCAGCCCUAAGUAAUUAUGCACACUAGAACAUGAUCUCACUAAUUUGAAAAAUUCAUGCAUCCGCCAUAGUUAAUGAUAACUUUUUAACCGGUGGAAAAUUUGUCCCCCAUUUAGAAAAACCAGUCAGGUUCAAGUGGAAUUUGACACGAGGUUUACAGGACAGAAGGACGGACAGGGAUCACGGGUAAUCAGGUCUGACUCGGACUUUUUUCCUAAUAAAUACUUACGGAAGAUGUGCAAUCCAACAGAACGAAAUUAAAUAUUUGAGCUAUCCUUAUUUCGAUAAAAAAUUAUAAUAUGUGUCACUUGUAUUACUCGUGUCAACACAAUCUGAA
Molecule: long non-coding RNA, 2654 nt
Organism: Folsomia candida
Lineage: Eukaryota; Metazoa; Arthropoda; Collembola; Entomobryomorpha; Isotomidae
Exons: 3
Source: RefSeq, a predicted model, not a curated record